UACGUAGGGAGCGAGCGUUGUCCGGAUUUACUGGGUGUAAAGGGUGCGUAGGCGGCUCGGCAAGUCAGAAGUGAAAUCCAUGGGCUUAACCCAUGAACUGCUUUUGAAACUGUUAAGCUGGAGUGUCGGAGAGGCAGGCGGAAUUCCUAGUGUAGCGGUGAAAUGCGUAGAUAUUAGGAGGAACACCAGUGGCGAAGGCGGCCUGCUGGACGAUAACUGACGUUGAGGCACGAAAGUGUGGGGAGCAA
Molecule: ribosomal RNA, 248 nt
Filed under: uncultured Oscillospiraceae bacterium
Lineage: Bacteria; Bacillati; Bacillota; Clostridia; Eubacteriales; Oscillospiraceae
Description: partial 16S ribosomal RNA
Rfam family: Bacterial small subunit ribosomal RNA
Source: RNAcentral